Molecule: long non-coding RNA, 1274 nt
Organism: Panicum virgatum (switchgrass)
Lineage: Eukaryota; Viridiplantae; Streptophyta; Magnoliopsida; Poales; Poaceae
Exons: 5
Source: RefSeq, a predicted model, not a curated record
UCCUUUUCCUUUGUAAAAAAAAAUCGUUAAAAUUGAGUUACCAUUGUGUUCCCACCGCUUCGCUGUCUCUGCCGGCGUUGUGUACCGCAGCCUCCUCCGGUCCUCCCCCCUGCGCCGCCGCCCCGGCUUCGUCGCCCUCGACGUCGUCGCCUUCUCCUUCCUGGUGCGCCCCCAUUUUCCACCAGGGACUCCUCACCUCCUCUCCUGGGCGCAGUGGCGAGAGGUCAAUUUCUCGAUUCGUUCUAAUUUCCAACCCCGGUUCGAUCCGGUAGUGGCUUCUUGUGACCCAUGUGCGGGCCAUCAGAUCGCCGACCUCCGUUCCCAUAUGCCUCUUCACUCUCGGCGGGCGCGGGCCGGGGCCGAGGGCCCCGGGAGCUGCCAUGGACGCUACGCGUUAUCUGAUUUCUGAGUGAUAACCCAGAUCGGACCUUGAGGCUCAUUAAAGAUGGGAUGGCAUGUCAACAAACGCCAAGAUGCAUGCCACCAUUGCACAUUCCAGGAGGGACUCGGACCUGUAUGCAUCUCUCAUGUUGUGCGCAGUAGAAAGUCGAGCAGCUAUUCGCAACGCACACACAUGGACGGCGAACUGGCGAAGGCUUGUUUGCGCUGGAGCUGACAAGUGAUGUGAUAAUUGCUGACAUGAUGCCUGAUGGUGCAAUCAAGGCGUAUAUUCGUGAUGCUGCUUUGAUGGAUGGAAGUCGUAAAACAAAGCAUGUGUCAUGCUAGCAUGAUUUGUGAAUGUGACACAAUUUUAGAUCAUGUUUGAUCUGAAGGAGCAGAGGAAGCCUAUAUCAAACGUUGUUGGAAAGAUUUGGGGGAAUGUUGAGGCUAGUGGCCACAAUAUUUAGCAACGUCUGAAGUCAACCUGUGGAGCUCAGGUGGUUCCAGGAGGCCAGCACCCAGCACGCCAGAAUGCUGGGAUAUCUUGGCCAUGACAGCGACUGGUUCCCUUGCUUGACCGCAUUAUUGCUCAUGAAGUCAGUCUCCGUGGGGAGUGUGUGGUCGUCUAGGAACUUGGUAACUGUGCCGGGGAAGUGUCAUGGUGACACUCUCUCGUUCUAAGAAACUUCUCUCAUAAAUGACUGUUAUAUUAGUAAAUUUGCUGAUAUGACAUGACAUUUAAUGAUCAUGACACUUCUACGAUACUCUUAUUGAGAUUGGCCAUACCAAUCAUGGCCAGGUUCAUUUCAAGUCAAAAGUAUCAGUAGUGCAAAUCUUCUCCAUUGUGUGCAGACUUAUUAUCUCAUUUCAGGUAGCCAGUAUACCUCUUUCUA